Non-coding RNA from Vicugna pacos (alpaca), 8167 nucleotides. Lineage: Eukaryota; Metazoa; Chordata; Mammalia; Artiodactyla; Camelidae. The record is from RefSeq and is a predicted model, not a curated record.
ACCGAACUCCGGGCUCUGAAUGACUGAGAGGAGCCGUCCGGCUCGGCCCCAAGCAGGACACUUGUUGAUUGGUUGGAUAGCCAAUAAUGGGCGGGAUUACUGCAGCGGUGCGCACGGAGAUUGGUGGGCCACGCAAACAGCAAAGGAGGAAAACCUAGAAGAAAUUCAGGUUUUCUGUGGAUGAAGCAACCCGGGGUCGGACUCUGCUGCUCCCUGGCGGUAGGUGGGAGUUAUUGCAUCACUGGCCAACUGCCCCUGCUGCCCCGAGAGCCUGGCCUUGUCUUUCUUCACAAUGGAUGCCCAGGAGAUGGCAAAUCUCCAUCCGCCUUGGAGGAGGAAUCUCCUCUACAAUGACUCUGACAAGCGACUUUUUGAACUCGUCCAGUUAGCGGGAAUCACUACUCUACAGGGGACUAUUCUCAUUUUUCCACUGCUGGAAUUAUUUUUAAAAAAACAAAAAAAAAUGUUGCUGCCAUCUGGGGCCCUGAAAUUUUACCCAGGAUAGUAAUUAUAUAAUAAUAAUAAUAACAAUAACAACAGAACUAACAAAUUGAGCAUUUACUAUGUGCCAGAUGAGAAAACUGAAGCCCCAGAGAGUUUCAGGAAUUUGACCAUGAGUUGACUGAUGGCCGGUCAUUUGAAACCAAGCAGCCUGACUCCAGAGUGUUUAACAAAACAGUAUUGUAUUCUAAGUUACACGGAAGGUUACCGCCUCUUUACAUAACCAUCCUCAAGCCCCUCAGCUGGGUUACACAGUUGCAGAGUUUCUUAAUUUCUCAUCAUAGUUCCUGAUUUCCAGGUUCUAUGAGUCACCCACCCCUGGGGAGGCAAGUGCUUAUCUGUGUCCUUCAUAGAAGGUGGGGAAGGUGGGGAACUACAUCUGAACACAGUGUCUUAGCUGUGAUGUGACUGGUUCAUAUCCUCAUUUGAACAAUGUGCUUCUAGUGAUGCAGACUAAUUAUAAUUAUGAAAAUUGUUAACCCUUGUUGAAUUUGCUUACGUACCAGGCCCUGUGCCAGGUGCUUUCUGGAAGAGCCACAUGUGGAAGGUAUUUCUGUAACCCUUUUGCACAUGAGUAAUCUGAGGCUUAGAGAUGUUGGUUAACUUGGCCAAGCGCGCACAGCUAGUAAGUAGCUGGGCUGUGAGCCAAGGUCUCGCUCAUUCCAAGCCUAGGGUACUUAGCCAUGAAGAUGUUAUUUCCCUCCCUCUGUCCCCACCUACCCCUGACACACACAUUUGGUUCCAGCAAAUAAAAAGGAAUAAAUGCACUGACAAUUUACCCAGACAGCUCUGAAGCAGUGCCUCCGCCUCCUCUCCCCAGCUUCUGGGAGCUGCCAAAUCUACCCUUUCCUACAAUCACAGCCCUGAUUAAACCCUUCCUGUUUGCACUCCCAUUUCCCACACCACUCCCUGUCAGUCUAUCUAGCUCAUCCCAGUUGAUUCCUUUCCUUGCUUCCCUGCUGUGCCUCUCAGCCAUCAGUCACCUGCUUCUCCCUCCCAGCAACUUCUCUCAAUCCAUUGCUCUCCAGUGUUUCUGGUGGCCUGGCCCCUGGAGACAAGGCUCCAGCAUUUGCUCCUUUCAGGUUGAACUUUUCUCAGUCCCUUCUCCUUGCUCGUCUUUCUUUGCUCCCUCCACUUGUCAGGGAAGAACUUCCCACAUCUCUACCCACCACCCUAAGGCCCCUUCCUUGCCUCCCUGAGAUUCAGCUCAAAACCCACCUUCUCCAGAGGGAAGACAUUUCUGGGGGAGACAGAGAUUCUUUUCUCUCCUGAACCCCCCAACAGUGAGUGAUUCUGCCCCUGGUGUGGGUCUCUACAGGGGCAGAAAUGCAUCCAUCAAUCCACCUUUGUAGGAAUUCCUCCCCCUCCAAUGCUCUGCCCCUGGCUUCCAACAGACCCUGAGUGGGGAGGGCCCAGGGUCCCUGCCUUGGGCUGUGUUCUGUUGUCAAGGGUACUAUUUAAUUUUCUGUUUUGGGCCCAGGGAGCCUCAACCUGAAAGGAAAAAUCUUUUCAGCUGGUUUCUUCACCAGGAUCCCUGCAACUUAACAAUGUCAGCCCCCUGCAUGGGGCCCCCGGCCCCCAGCCCCCGGGUACACUGAGCUGCUUUUCCUUUCUCUUCUGUAAAAUGUUACCCCAUCUUCAGGGAGAUGUAGGCUCUUUCUGUACUCCCAUCUCACCUUGUAUAAAUACGUGCUCCCAGUAUAGCAGUUACUUUAUUGGAUUGGGGUUACCUGUUUGUGUCAGAGCUGAAACGGCAUCAUCCCAUCUUUGCAUUUCGCACAUGUAGCGUGGAGCCUGACACACAGUGCUCAAAAAUGCUUAAAUGGAUGAAAAAAAAAUCAGUGAGUAGAAUGCAUAGGCAGGACUGUGAAGGUACAUUUCUGGGAGUGUAGGCGAGUCUCCAGGACUAUGUAAACAAUGUGUGUUUGUGUGUCUUUUUUUUUCCCCCUUAAACCAGCAAAAUGAGUUUAUUAAAGAAUAGUAGAGAACUGCAAUUUCAGACAAGCAAAUUGUGGCAAAUCAUAGGCAAGCCUGGAGAACAGAGGAGAGAGACUUGCUUUUAUAGAGGAAAGGAGGAACUUGAGGGCUCUGAUGGCUCUUCAUUGGCUGCAGGCAGUGGGCAGCUUCUUGACUGACCAUUCCAGGAGCACAUCGAGACUUCAUGUUGGCAGGUGGGGGGUGGUGGUGCCUUGGAAGCUAUGACCAGGGGAGUUGGAGAUGGAGACGGAGUUGGGGCCAGGCUUUGGUUUUGGCAAAGCUGUUCAGCAAAGGCAGGUGGGAGCAAAACCAGAGAAGAGGGAGCACUCAGUCUUCCAAACUAGACCACAUAGGUCCAUUUUCCAGGGCAGAUGGAACAAAUACAGUGAAUCUAUGGAGCACAGCAAUUGUGAAUUUCUGUACCUCUCGGCAUCUCCCCAACCUCCUGGCUCAUCCUCCAACUGCCUAUAGACCAGUGCUUCCCAAAGUGUGAGCCACAACUGAGCAGCUUCAGCACCACCUGGGAGCUUGUGAGAAAUGCAGACUCUCGGGCCCCGCCCCGGACCUGUGAGAUCCCAGGUAGUUCACACGCACACCUGUGCCUGAGAAGCCCUGCUGUAAGCCCGGUUUGUCCUGCAGCUGUGUUUUCCCUUCUUCCUGACAGUCAUCGGGAGCACCUCCAACACAGCCUGGUCACAAGCGGUGGUGCCUGACAUCUCCCGGUGUCUCCUCUCGAGCUGAGAUGCUUUGGCUGAGCAGGGCUGUCCUUGGGCAGAGGAGCCAAUUAGUAAAAGGAGAGGCUUCAAAGAGGCCUAACUGGCCUGAGUAAAAGCCCGAGGUCAAUUACGAACACUUAACAGUCCCUGGUUGGAACUUCACCUACAGGUUAGGAAGAUAUCCAAGAAAACUACGCUUAGAUGUGCAUUGUGACUUUCCUGCUUUUAUUCCAAGGAAGGGCUUGGCUCCCAGACUUCCUUUCUGUAGGAACUCUUGAAAUGUCACUUUCCACUCUACCUUUAAAGUAAGUUCCAGGCUUGGCUGAAAUUGUCUGAUUUAUCAUCCUUCAAUUGAAGUGCGCCACCCUCCCUGCAGUUUGGGGAUAAGAGGGACAAAGCCAUGGACCACCUCCUGUCACAUCCCCUCAACCCCCCAGCAGAACUUCUUCCCACCCAGAUCCCAUCCUUCUGGAAUCUCCUUAGGACUCAUCACCUCCCUGGCUCUCUGGACUGGCGUCCACUAUUCCAGCCCCUACACACGUCCCCUCUGUGCAGCUACAGUGACAUUCAUAGAGCACGACUUAUUUCCCAGUUCUUCAGUAACUCCUUAUUGCCUUCAAGGGAAAAAAAAAAUCCAACAGUUACAGACUAGCAUAAAGGGCCCUCCAGGAUGAGGCCUCUUGCUUCUCUCUUCAGCCUCAUCUUACCUCAUUCUUUGCCACAAUGUGUCCCAUCACACUGAACAACGUUGGGAUGCUCAGAAGCAGAGCUCUCUCACGUGCCUUUGCACAUGCUGUUCCCUUCACCUGUCCCGUUCUUACCUUCACCCUGAAGCAACUCCUCACCUCCCUCAAGAUUCAGUUUGGAACACGUUGGUCUCUCUCUUGGAAGCCUUCCCUGUGCCCUUACAUUUGAUGUUUUAUAUCUCUCUUCUGAACUUCUGUGGCAUCUCUAAUCAAAACAUUUAAUACAUUAUAUAUUUAAGACAUUUUAAAGUAUUGCUUUAUUAUACAAAUACUGUAUUUUCAUUAUAAAAGCAUUUAUAUAUACACAAAAAGAAAAAUGAUUACCUAUUACUUAUUUAUAUUAGUUAGUGUUCAAAGAGAAGACGCUCUAUGUUUUCCAAGGAUGAAGGAAAGUGACACAAGACAUGAGAGGCUGACACACCUGUUAGAUGGGCUGCAGUAGCAAAGGUCCCAGGUGACCUUAGCCUGUGACGUCUAAGUGAGAGGCUCUCCAAGACCUUGCCUGGAAGCCACUCCACUAGAAAGCCCAAGAACUUCUGGAAUGUUCCCACCAGUUAUCUCAGUCUGUGGCAGUAAUGUGGGGAGUCUCAAGAGAUUCACCUGGACACUGUUUUGAACCGCUCAUCCGCUUAUGCAUUUGCCUGUCUCUGGAAAAGGAUGGCUUCUUCUCUCUUUUGGAAAUAUUGCUCCCAGCAUCUCCUCUGUGGUGCAGAGAACUUCACGAUGAGGUGCAUUGAUGCUAAGCUUACAACGGACAACUCUCCUAAAGAUAAGCACAUUUUGGUGCAUCAUCUUUCUUAUGUAUGUAUAGUGUGUGUGUGUGUGUGCGUGUGUGUAAGUGAAUAAUCUACAUAUAAAACUCUCUUUACUGUGCGCUCUCUCUGUAUAUCUAUAUGUUUUCUCCCCACUGGCUCCUUGAAGGUUUAAUGAGCUUGCUUCUCUACUUUUUAGAGCAAUGAUUCCCAGAAUUGGUUUGAUGACACCCUGGAGUGUCUUCAUUUAUCUCAGGGGGUGCCUUGAAAUUCACAAAACAAGAUUAAUUUAAAUUCAUUUUCAUUUAAAAAAGUAAACAGACAUUAUAUAGUAAUCACAGGUACAAGUGUGUGUGUUGAAAUCAAACUAAUAAAUGCUUGCCUUAGAGAGAAAUCAAGAGGACGGGGGUGGGGUUGGAAGGGACCAGAAAGGUGGUUUACUUAGAAUCUUUCUAAAAUAUCCCCUCUAAUUACUUCUAGGUUGGUAUUCCCCCCAAAUUAAUCACGUUUUUCAAAUUGGAAGUCGGGGCUGUGGGGGCCAAAAGCUCCAGUGUGCACGUCUAUCUUCCAUGCCUCCUAUGAGGCUUGGCGUGUGGAGGUCUCAGGACAUUUUGAUGGACUGUGUGUUGGUGCAGGAUGUAGUGCUGGUGGCUGAGAAGGGCACACGGCACAUGCGAGUUUCAGCUCUGUAGGAUUGGAGGCCAUGAGAUGGCUUCAGAGACCGUGGUCUGGGUACCAUCCCCACUCAAGUUCCAGGAGAAUGUAGAUGCCCCAACGGUCACAGAGAAAAGAACCUAGGCCGAGAUUCACUGGCCUUAAAUGACUGGCCAGAAGCUUCUGUAACUGCCUUUCUGUUAAUUUGUGCAAAUCAUCAGAAAGCUAGAUAUGUCAGCCAACAGCAUGAGUGUAUAAACGUCAGUGACUUGCUGCUGAAGGUAUAGCCCCAAGGUCGUAGAUGCAGGAAAGAAUUUUGAGUUCUGCAUGAGAUCGGUAUUUUGAAGCAACAGAGCUGGUGGAGGUGGUUUCAAAUCCUCAGUCUGCCAUUUAAAGCUACAUAACCCUGAAUAAACUGCUUUACACCCCAGUGCCCCCCUCUUGUAAAGUGGAGAUAAUGCUAAUGCCAACCUCAUAGGGUUGUGAGGAUCCAAUGAGUUAACCCAUGUAAAGUGCUCUGAACGAUGCUCAGCAGAGCAAGGGCACCAGUGAACGCUGCCUCUUGUUAUCAUCAUCAUCACAGUAGGCGCUACGGACCUACCAGGUCUAAUUGGUAGUCGAUGUUUCAAUUAGAGAGUAACGGGGUAUCCAUUCCUCUCUGCCCUCAGAGCGGAGUGCUGUAGCGACCCUCUCUGGUCCCAAAGAAUACAUUCAAGACUUCCUCCAGUUGUCCCCUAGGUUGGGGUAGGAACAUCAUUUGCAGUACUAAGUCUGGAAACUUAGGCAGAAGGUUAAUAGUAUAACAAGGAAGCAAGCAAGCAAACAAAGCAGAACAGAAAACCACCACUUGCAAACAAAAGUCUCAGUGAAUCCCCCUGUCACACCUUGAUGGGAUAUUCUGCUUCAUGGGGGAAAAACAGUGCAAAUGUGUCUGGAUUCUUAGACUCACAAUUGGUAGCAAGCAGGGGAAGAAUGUGUCUUUUAGCAGAGUUUUAUGGCUUCUCAAUCCUUGAAGGUAAGACAUCAUGAAUCAAGAGAAAGUUUCAAAAUGUGUUCGUCAUUGCCCACUCCUAUUGACGAAAAAACCCCAACCUCUUUUGGAGAAAAUGAUUGAUGAGGAGAGAACCUUUGAGGCUACUAAAACACGUUCCUGAUUCUCUUUAUUUUAGUGAAAAACUAAAUAUACCUAUAUCCCCAGAUGAGAAAGACAAAUCAAGUCUCAUGUCUGAUCUUAGCAAAAUUCAAAUACUGGGUUUGAAAUGCCAAUAAUUCUGUUCAAUUCCUUUUCUCUUGUGCAAAUACUGAAGAAUAUAUGUUACAUGAUUAUUCAGAUGUUCAAAGAGUUAUUUGGAUAAGAAAAUUUUCAAGUCCAUAUAGAAUUUAUUUCUAGGAUGGCUUAUGACCAUAACAGAAAAGAUUAAUGAGUUAGAGUUUUUUUUUGAAAUUCAUGAUACUCUAAAGACUAUCUUUGGUCAGAAAUAUAUUUGAUUUACACAAAUGUAGAAAUAAAGUGAGAAAAAGUUUUUGAAAAAAAGUUUAGCUUUGUUUUAUAGUAUUUUGGAUCUCCAAGGCUAUAGGAGUCUUAUCUGUCAUCAUCUAGGUGUUUCCAAACCUCUGUGCCUCUUCAAUUCAGUUAAACAAAUAGAUACUAGGUAUGCCUAGGUAAACAAAAUAUAUUGGGCUAUACACUUGAAUGAAGAUACAGAGAAAAGCACAUUUUACUUACACUUUAGUGCUGUAGAGGAUUGUUACAGCCAAGGCCCCAAUGAAACACACCUGCCAGUUUCCACACCCUUUUAUAAUCGCCUAUCACAUUGACACUUGCUUCAGCCAUGUGACUUGCUUUGGCCCAGCGACAUAAGUAAAUGUGAUGGAAGCAGUGGUGUGAUAAGCACUUGCACACUGAGACUUGUCCUCUUGGAACCCUGAGACCACCAUGCAAUGAAGAAACCCAGAAUUAAAUACUGAGUGGUAGGAGAGGCCAGUUGAGUUCAGUCUCCAAGGGCAAUGCCCCCAGCUGAAUGCAGCUGCAUCAGCGACCCAAGACAUCACCUGCAGAAGAAUGGUCCAGCUAACUUACGGAAUCAUGAUAAUCAUGAGGUCACUAUGUUUUGGAAUAUCUUGCUACAUAAAUGGAAAACUAGUAUAAAAAUUGAUAACCAGAAGUGACACACUGAUAUAAUAAAAACCUAAACUAGGCAGCAUUGGUUUUGGGACUGAGUGUCUGGUAGAGGCUACGGAGACAGCCAGCAGGGUGCUGGUGGAGCCUGGCAGACCUGAGUGGAAACUACUACUGGAGGUUGAUAAAGGGCAACCCAGAGUGUGUAAUAGUGACACGACUGGCAACACUGUCACCUCCAGUACCUUGGAAGAUAGAAAGUGUACUUAAUGUGGAUUGGCCUUAAGAUUUCCAUUUAGAACGAUGAGGGGCAUCAAUUAACUUUUUAAAAGGUAUAUAUAAUAGGAUAUGAGAAGAGAGAGAUGAACUAAAGAAAGAACUGCUCCAUUUGUCAGCAGAAUUUCAAGUACACAUGGAAGGUCCAGGAUGCACUGAGCUGGAAAAUAAAACCAUUUCACAUUUCCCGUCUCUUCAAUAGGCAGACGAUCCUCAGAGUAAGAAAUGACCUCAGGAUGCAGAUCAAAUCAAGAGUGAGGUUAUAAGACUUUGUGAAGACCACAGAAAGACUUUAAACGGUGUCUACCAGACUCUCUUAGCUAGAUAAAAGGUCUUCUAAGAAUCUUGAGGGCAUUUUCCCUUGGCACCUUGACAUGCUGACCAAAGUAGAGGCCUGUCUUAAAAAUAAUUGUUACUAUAGCUUUU